RNAcentral lists this ribosomal RNA (433 nucleotides) under uncultured bacterium. RNAcentral's name for it is "partial 16S ribosomal RNA". It matches the Rfam family "Bacterial small subunit ribosomal RNA", at positions 29 to 507 of the family's 1533-position model. The record is from RNAcentral.
AACGAACGCUGGCGGCAUGCCUAACACAUGCAAGUCGAACGAGACCUCCGGGUCUAGUGGCGCACGGGUGCGUAACGCGUGGGAACCUGCCCUUAGGUUCGGAAUAACUCCCCGAAAGGGGUGCUAAUACCGGAUAAUGUCUUCGGACCAAAGAUUUAUCGCCUUUGGAUGUUCCCGCGUUGGAUUAGCUAGUUGGUAGGGUAAAAGCCUACCAAGGCGACGAUCCAUAGCUGGUCUGAGAGGAUGAUCAGCCACACUGGGACUGAGACACGGCCCAGACUCCUACGGGAGGCAGCAGUGGGGAAUAUUGGACAAUGGGCGAAAGCCUGAUCCAGCAAUGCCGCGUGAGUGAUGAAGGCCUUAGGGUUGUAAAGCUCUUUUACCCGUGAUGAUAAUGACAGUACCGGGAGAAUAAGCUCCGGCUAACUCCGUG